This is a non-coding RNA of Pelobates cultripes (western spadefoot toad), 9173 nucleotides long. Lineage: Eukaryota; Metazoa; Chordata; Amphibia; Anura; Pelobatidae. The record is from the annotation of a GenBank genome assembly.
CGGCACUGCAAAAAACCCUUGUAACACCGGAUUCCAGCGCCGUGCUAAGUCAGUACCCUCAGUGCUAAGUCAGCAUUCUACCUUCUCCAAGGUCAUUGGAUUGGGGGCCUAAUGCUCAUGCACUUCAAGCGCUGAGAGCGUAUUAAGCCAUACCCAUAGGAAAGCAUCGACUCAAUGUUUUCUUAUGAAGAUUUAAUUGUCGCUGGAUGUCCUCAUUUCUGAGUGUGACAGGGACACAGCACUCAUUGAGCUGAAGUGGUCUUGGUGUCUGUAGUGUCCCUUUAAACACACGCCUACUAGUUGUCUUCCUAACAAACUUGAUGAUUUCAGUCAGAGAGGCGAAGCCGCCAUAGGGAGACCAGUGCAACGAGGUACGAAAGGUAAAUAAAACUCAUGCAUGUUUAUAUUCUAACGCUUUAGUGCUCCAUUAACAGUGAUUGUUCGCCGUUUCUGCUAGGUAAACCUGCUGCUUCAAAUCUGAACAGAAAUUUUUCUAUUUCUUUGAGUGGAUGAAGGACAUGCAAUUCUGUAAUUAAAAAAUAUCUAUAGUGUUAUUCACUAAAUUGUCAAAAUGGUGGGAAGAUAGGAAAAAAAGACAUAUUUUAGACAUAUAGCCACAUUGUUUUCAUAUUUAAUAUAAUCUCAAAAUUCUACUUUCACAAACAGGAAAUAUGCCACUGUUUCUAAAAAGGCAAGGCACUGACUAACAAAACAAACACUAUUAUCACAGGCAUGUCUCCCAUUACAGUUCUGCUAAUGUAAGAGGGAUCAUGGCAGAUUUAAAUCCCAUCAUUAUUAGAUUUUACAGGGGCUAUUUUAUACAAGGAGUAAUUUAUACUUAGAACAUAUCAGAGAUAGUUAUUAAAAGGGAAUUGCACUUUGAAAGCAGAAAUUGUAGAAUUCAGUCAACUAUUUUGCCAACUCAGUUGCUUUGGACCAAAAUGCAUAAUUGCAUUUUUUUUUUUUUUACAGUUCUUGCUUGGCGAAUGAACCUCAAAUUAACCAUGACUACAGACUACCCAAAGCAUAUGAUGAAUAGCAACAAUACACACAACUACUAAUGCAUGUGUAGUCAGUGUAUAAGUCAUACCUGCUCCACGAGAUAGAUAACGGUCCUGCAUUUUCUCCUGAUCCAGCGAUUCCCUUGACAGACACAAUGACGUCAAAUGUUUUUCCGAUGUCAGUGAUGACGUAGAACGCUCCGCCUCUCUCUCCUUUUAUUCACGUCACGGUCUGCAUCUGGUGUGGGUGGUCUGGUAGUACUGUUUGUCCACACAACAUGGGUCAAAUUCAUUUUGGCGUCAUGCAUGACACAGGCCAAUCAGAGAUCACAGCCCUUGUGACCUCUGUACAUUGCCCUGUUAUGGUUUUUGUUAGCCCAAGAAUGCAUUAGUUUAUCCUUAGUAUUUCUGGUUUCCUACUUAGCUUUGUUUUAUCAUUUAUUCUGGUAUCCCUCACCCUUCGCUCUUUCAUACUCGUUUAUCCAUCUGUCUCCAGUCCUGUCAUAGGCCUGUAGCUGACUAUUCUAUAUCCUACACCUACUAUAUACAUUAAGCCCGGCCACUCUAAGGUCCGGUAAUAUGUCUUUUUUUGUGUAAAGGGUUGUACUUGCCUCACUGUUUGCCAGUUAGGGCAUCUGUCCUUGACAAUAAGUUAUAAGGUAAAGCCUUAGCCAAUCAUACGGUGCUCCAUAUAUAUGACAAAUAGUAGAUAGACAGUCAUACCAUUUUGAUACACCAAGUAUGACGGAACCUGGAAUGGCAAAAUGCAUCUCCAUCAUUAACAUCACAGGUGGACUAAUGCUGCAUCUGCCAGUACACCCCAUAAAAAGAGCUUAAAUGUGCCCCUAUUUUAGUGUCAACCUCUAUGAUUGAGAUGAGGUUGCCAGGUCCAGACUUAGGUGGUGUCUACAAAUAUGGGUCAAAAUGUUAGUAAAACCAGUGUCAGAGUUUAGUGGUAAUAGGGUCACAGGUUAGAAGGAGUAGGGGUAGAUGCAAGAGAUAGAGGUUAGAGGUAACAGGGUGCCAUAACAGGGGUGCAGAGAGGUUAAAUGUUUAAGGGUAGUGUUAAGGUUAGAGCGGCUACUGGAUGAAGGGUUCUGUUAUGGUGUCCGGAUUAAAUCUGGCUCCUGUCACAGUCUUCACAUAUUUAAAUUAGAGAGGUGAUUAUACACUCAUAUCCCCUACUGACAAUUACAAAUUAGAAAUUUAUUACUACUGGAAUAUGGCUCCUUUACUCCGAAAGUCAUAAUCAAAAGUUAUAAUUCCAUAUGGCAAGACAUUAUACAUCUAAAACAAAUCACGCUCUCUUCAACCAACAGGUUCUGAUAUCCUAACUCAGACAGCCAGUUGCAAAACUAGCAACUAUCGAUGUAACUUCGUGCUCUUCUACUAAUUAGGGUGAAAAGGUCGUCAUUUAAUGUAGAGGUGCUUAUGGAACUGCAGCGCUGCAUUGAAAUGCUUUUCGCUCUGAAUAGAUCAAAUAUUAUAAAAUAUAUUGUAGGAAUUAGUGCAAAACAAUUCACACUUCUCUUCUGUGCUUUACUACGCCGGGCUGCUCAGCAAUUAUAUUCAUCACAUGUACAUCCCUUUCAUUUUUAAUUGUAUUGCUUUUAAAAGGAGAAAUGUUGUUAGAGGUGACUCACAGGUCCAUUGAAGAAAAUGAGAAGUAGCUUUAUCCAAAGCAGAAGCUCGAUGUGAUCGUUUUAUGAGUCACAGUCUUAUCUAUUGAAAAGAUUGAUACCUUUUGACCCAGAAAGUGUUACAACUUAUUAGCAUUAUCAGUAUCCCUACAGGAGAACCAGUCACGUGGCUUUGGAGUCCAAGAUCAUAAACAGUGUAUAAGAGUUUGGUCCAUCCAGUACAGAUAGGCACAGAGAACACUGUAGUAGCUCCUGCAUUUGAUUUCAGCUAAUAGAUAACAUGCAAGCCCAAUGACCCAGCCUAGGAUCUUCUGAAUACAAGUUCCACCCUUGCGCACAAGACUAUGGUCAGAUCCCUUGUACCAAAAAACAAAAACUGGAACUGCACUCAAUACAUAAAUAAAGCCUGGGUGCAACCAAACCUGGGGUCUGCACCAAGGCCCAAGAAGUCGUUCGUAGUCACUGAAGAAAGUAUAAUUCUUUAUUUUUGGUUAAAUUCAUAGGUACAAAUAUAUCAAAAACGAGAUGCAGCAAGUGUAGGUUAAUACUUCAGCAAAAUAGUGUCUUGAUGUUCAAGAUUCUACGCCUGUUUAACACACUAUGAAUUAAUUUUAUAAAAUUAUACACGGUCUAAAUAUAUAAACUAAAUAAAUCCAGCAUAGCUUAAAGGACCACUCUAGGCACCCAGACCACUUCAGCUUAAUUAAGUGGUCUGGGUGCCAGGUCCUUCUAGGGUUAACCCAUUUUUUCAUAAUUAUAGCAGUUUCAGAGAAACUGCUAUAAUUAUGAAUGGGUUAAGCCUUCCCCCUAAUCCUCUAGUGGCUGUCUCAUUGACAGCCACUAGAGGCGCUUGCGUGCUUCUCACCGUGAAAAUCACAGUGAGAGCACGCUAGCGUCCAUAGGAAAGCAUUGUAAAUGCUUUCUAGAGAUCGCUGAAUGCCGCGCAGCCUUGCUAGCAUUCAGUCGGGGCGGGCGUAACGGAGGCGGAGAGGAGGAGGAGAGCUCCCCAGCCGCUGGAAAAAGGUAAGUUUUUACCCCUUUCCCCCUUCCAGAGCCGGGCGGGAGGGGGACCCUGAGGGUGGGGGCACCCUCAGGGCACUAUAGUGCCAGGAAAACGAGUAUGUUUUCCUGGCACUAUAGUGGUCCUUUAACAUUGACUAAGCUGAACUGCUGUUGGACAUCUAACACAGAGUGAGGCCAUAAACACAAUGUAUGUCAGGAUGUAUAGUGACUAUGUAUAUAUUUUAAGCCUUAGGGAGAAUAGGCUUAAGAAAAACAGACUCUCUUUGCCACCUAAAGGUGGGGUUGAGGUGGAGGAGGGAGGGAAGGUUAAGAUUGGUUCUAAUGACCAAUCAAACUGGUUGAGAGUUUGACUUCUCAUGCAGUGUGCUGCAUAAAAUGAUACACUAAACAACAAAAACAUAAUCAAUGAUGCAACCCUAGAAUUUUAAGGGAUAUUAUAAGGCCAUGUGAGGUGGGUAUUAGCAGUCCCGGUGAUUGUAUCAGGUAGUGAUCGCGGCAUAGCCUUCCUUUGCAGCUUCUCGUGGUAUGAAAGAGAUUGCCGUCUCUGAGAACACCUGUGCGGUGUUCAGGCUGCCGUCCCAGAACCAGCUUGUGACAGAGAGUCCAGAGGCAGGUUCAGUGUGGCCAACAGGGCUGUUUCCUCCGCAACAUCAUGGAUUAGAUGCUUGGUUUCACCCUGCAGGACCAUGAGUGCAAGAGUCACCCACCAGGUGAGGCGAAGGUGGAUAACAAGGUCUCUAGGCACAUUUUCCGGCGCCCAAGGGGAUUUAGGCACUCGGAAAAAUCUAUUGAUUCCUACCACUUUGAAAAGUGCCUAGUAGGUGCCUCAGGAGGUGUGGGAGUUCAGCAGUUGGCACGUCCUCAUUUAUGCCCUUAAUUUUUAUAUCAUUUUGCUCCUCAGGUCUUCGAUGGGGCAUAAGCAACGAUCAUUCGUCUUGCUUUUCUUCUGGAGCCCCUUGACUGCCUUCUGUAACGUCAUGAUCUGAAUUGCUUGAUCGCUGGAUGCUUUCUCCACCACUGCUAGUCUUGCCGACAGGCCCUGCAGGGUGUACGGAUUGAUGCCACAUCUGCCUUAAUAGUUUUCUGAAGGUCCGCAAGGAGAGCUUUCAGCACCACAGUAGUCUCUAGGGCGGUAUCCGGACCAGUAGGCAUCGGCGCGUAAUGUGUUUCUGGGGGAUUAUCCACCUACUCCUCAGGGACAGGUCAUCCGAGAGUUUGGAGUAGCCUCUGGAUAAGCGUUCAUCUUGGGUGCUGACGCGCCAUGCGGCUGCCACAGUAAGUCUCCAAUAUUAAAGCCCAUCAGUGGCUUUUUUUUAUUUCUGUUUUUUUUAUUUGCACCCCUCCUGUGGGGGCUCCCCAGGCCAUUCGAUUCUCGGUUUCAGGGCCCACAAAGAGGUAUAUUGAUUCCUGUUGUUCAUACCUCUCAUUUCAGUAUGGUCAUUACGCUCAGUAGCUUGGCUCUGCCCCAAUUAUAAUGUAUUUUGAAUCAUAAUGAAAAAAUUCAUAGAUUUCGUUCAUGUAAUUUUGCAAUUCGUCAUUAAAAAUAAGCAAAUUAAGCUUUUAUCAACAUAUUGUCUAAAAUGUCAUUCCUUCCCUUCAUAAUGAAAUCUGCUCAUGGUGAAACGAGAAAAUGGAGCUAAUAAACAAGUGGUCAAAGUUUUGGCACACAACACAUAUGAUAAAUUAGUGAGGGUUUGAGGAAAGAGAGAUAAGGGACGAGGAACUGACAGAGGGCCAUACCUUUCAUUCAUAGAAUAGGGAACCAGUAUAUUACCCAGGUAUGUUUUUAAGUUAAUAAUAAAAUCUCCAUGGCAAUAAAACAUAAUAUUUUAACGAUACAUGCUUUAUCUUCCCUGUAAAUCUCAGUUCCUCAGUUUUCAAACAAUAAAACUGAGAAGUAUCUGCAGUUUUAUCUGAAAAAGCUCAAGGGUUUGAACUUUUUAGCCAAAAUGGAGCAACGCAAGUUGAAAUCUAAUCAGAAUGUGAUUGUUUUAAAGUUGAAACUAAAAGCUGACAAUUGCAUAAUAAUAAUGAGUACAGAGUCAUUUAUUGAUGUGAGAUGAUCCAAGCAGUUGAUAUCUAUAGAUUGCAAAAAUCUGCCUGCCUGCCUACUGACACAGAGACUUGUGGGAUAUGGAGAAAUAAUAUUUUGCCAGCUACAACUAAAAAAGGAUUUUCAUAAAUCUACAUUGUUUCGUAAAUUAUCAUCUGGCUAAUUGAUUUGCAACUUCAACUGCUUUGUACAAAUAUAAAAGUACUCAAUACACUUGGUACCAACUGUUAAGGCCUUUAUUAUAUAACAAUGAAUACAUAUUAUGGACAAAAUUUCCUUUCCUAUAUUUGUGCAACGAUUAAAUCAGUGCAAUAGUGGAGUCAUAGAAACAUAGAAACAUAGAAUGUGACGGCAGAUAAGAACCAUUCGGCCCAUCUAGUCUGCCCAAUUUUCUAAAUACUUUCAUUACUCCCUAGUCUUAUCUUAUAGUUAGGAUAGUCUUAUGCCUAUCCCACGCAUGCUUAAACUCCUUUACUGUGUUAACCUCUACCACUUCAGCUGGAAGGCUAUUCCAUGCAUCAACUGCCCUCUCAGUAAAGUAAUACUUCCUGAUAUUAUUUUUAAACCUUUGUCCCUCUAAUUUAAGACUAUGUCCCCUUGUUGUGGUAGUUUUUCUUCUUUUAAAUAUAGUCUCCUCCUUUACUGUGUUGAUUCCCUUUAUAUAUUUAAAUGUUUCUAUCAUAUCCCCCCUGUCUCGUCUUUCCUCCAAGCUAUACAUGUUAAGAUCCUUUAACCUUUCCUGGUAAGUUUUAUCCAUGAACCAGUUUAGUAGCCCUUCUCUGAACCCUCUCUAAGGUAUCAAUAUCCUUCUGAAGAUACGGUCUCCAGUACUGUGUACAAUACUCCAAGUGAGGUCUCACCAGUGUUCUGUACAAAGGGAUGAGCACUUCCCUCUUUCUACUGCUAAUACCUCUCCCUAUACAACCAAGCAUUCUGCUAGCAUUUCCUGCUGCUCUAUUACAUUGUCUGCCUACCUUUAAGUCAUCAGAAAUAAUCACCCCUAAAUCCCUUUCCUCAUAUGUUGAGGUUAGGACUCUAUCAAAUAUUCUGUACUCUGCCCUUGGGUUUUUACGUCCAAGAUGCAUUAUCUUGCAGUUAUCCACAUUAAAUGUCAGUUGCCACAAUUCUGACCAUUUUUCUAGUUUACCUAAAUCAUUUGUCAUUUGGCUUAUCCCUCCUGGAACAUCAACCCUGUUACAUAUCUUAGUAUCAUCAGCAAAAAGACAUACCUUACCAUCAAGACCUUCUGCAAUAUCACUAAUAAAAAUAUUAAAGAGAAUGGGUCCAAGUACAGAUCCCUGAGGUACCCCACUGGUGACAAGUCCAAGCUUCGAAUAUAUUCCAUUAACUACAACCCUCUGUUGCCUGUCACUCAGUCACUGCCUUACCCAUUCAACAAUAUUUGAAUCCAAACUUAAAGAUUGCAGUUUAUUUAUAAGCCUUCUAUGUGCAACAGUGUCAAAAGCCUUACUGAAAUCUAGGUAAGCAAUGUCUACUGCACCACCCUGAUCUAUAAUUUUAGUUACCCAAUCAAAAAAAAUCAAUAAGAUUAGUUUGGCAUGAUCUCCCUGAAGUAAACCCAUGUUGUCUCUGAUCUUAAAAUCCAUGUGUUUUAUACAGUAAGCAUACUCACAUGCAGACAGAGACAAUCUCACUAACACACACCAACUCAUUGAUACACAGCCUCAUAGACAAACAAUCUCACUGAUAUAAAUGAGCUCAUUGAAAUAAAAACACAAGCUCACUCACUAGCAUGCACACACAUAUGCAAGCAAGCUCACACACACACACACACAAACAGCUUCAUGUAGUGGUUCUGGUGUCUAUAGCCUGUCCCUGCAGGCUUUUCACAGUGUGCAGCACCUACAUUCAUGGCCUCCCGCUCUGGAGGUGCUGAACGUUCCCCAUAGAGAUACAUUUAUUCAAUGCAUCUCUAUGAGGAGAUGCUGAUUGGUGUAGCGUUUUGCAGCCAAUCCUAUGGCAGAGCAGGAUUGGAUUGGCUAAGAUCAUCAAGCCUGAUGAUCUCAGCCAUAGAGGCAGGGCCAGUCGAGGAGAGAUCAGCACGGCAUGGGAAAUAAAUAAAGGUGAGUAAAAACACUAUUUUUAAACACACACAGACACACACAUACACCAUGACAACACAGACACACACACAUAUACCAUGACACACACAUAUACCAUGACACACACACACCAUGACAGACACUCACACCGUGACACAGACAAACACACACACCAUGACAGACACACACUCACACUGACAGAAUGACACAUAUUACCUCUGCUCACCAGCGCGCAGCUUAAUGAGACUGGUUCCGGAAUAUGAUGUCAUAUUCUGGCCCCGGUCUCAUUAAGUAGCGCGCCAGGGUGGGGGAGAAGAGCAGAGACAGCACAACUCCCCCUACGGCUGCCAUCACAGCUCCCCCUGCGGCCACCAGCACGCAUUGCUAUCUGCCUGGCCCCAGGUGCCGAUGGUCCACCGGGAAAUUUUCCUGUGUCCCGGGGGGCCAGUCCAGCUCUGGUAACUAUUCAGGAAUGCCAUAACCGUAUAGAGGCAAUAAUAGGGUUGGCAUGCUUUAAUUACUGAUCAAAUUUAUUCCUGGUCAAAGUUGCCCAGGUAUAGGCACCAAGUCUUGCACCAACAGUUAUCUCCUGUCAUUAUACUGGUUUGACUAAUUCAGACUUUUAUUCAAAUGCUCAUUGAAUGAUGUAGCAGUGUCCUGGAAGAGCAGUACAAAGGAUGAUGGGAUAUUCAUUAAAUUUGCAAAGCACACCGGGAGCGUUUAACAAUGAAAUCUGGAAAUGCAUAUUUGAAUGAAUUUCUUUCUCCAUAUUUCAUGCACCGGGAGAUAUCUACGGACAGGAAGGAAGGAUUGUACUGAUUGAUGCUUUCUAUUUUCAAUUUCCAGGUACGGCUGGAUUGCAGGAUGAUUGUUUAUUGAAUGCAGAGUCAUGAUAAAUAUAUAAUGAACACAGGAAGCUCAGCUUCUCUUAAUUGACAAGUCCUUGAGUGCCGAACGUCAGGCUGUAAAUUUGCUCACAGUGACGUGAGCAGCAUCCGAAAAUGACUUUCUUCAUCAAUAUUUGACGAGUCGGCUCGCAGAGAUUGAGUGGUUUUUCCAACCUUUCUGUUCUCGUGAAGUGCAGGAUAUCCCUGUGGAAACAUCACGAUGCCCUGGGAAUCCAAUCACAGUUUCAAAUGGAUUACACUAUUCUAGCUGCAUUCAUGCCAAGGGGACGCCAAGGACAAUUUAUUUUAAUGAUAUAUUUUCUAGUACGGAUGUUCCUUAUACAAAUAUAUAUUUAACAGGCUUUCUAAUUAACCUUUCAUUUUCCCCUGUCCAUGUGUCAUCUGUCAGGUAAUCCUGAUACUUUUCAGUUAUUUCAGAAAUUGAAUAAAUAUCCAUAUUCCAGAAUUCCCUUUCACUCUAUUUACCAUUGUGGUCCAUGGUGGAG